GGGGCCUUAGCCCUGCAAAGAAGGGGUAGCUGGGGUGCCAACCUUGUUGGUUAGUGACCAGCACUGGCAGCUAAGGCUGUUGGGAAGUCUAGGCAUUGCAGCGGGCAGGCUCAUGGGUAGAGCAGGGGAAGGAACCAGGACAGGGCUGGGGACAGAAGGUGGUCACAGUCAUGGUUUCACUCUCAGAAAUAUCCUGGGCCUAUGGCUUAAGGCUUCGUGGAGCAGGG
Molecule: long non-coding RNA, 227 nt
Filed under: Homo sapiens (human)
Lineage: Eukaryota; Metazoa; Chordata; Mammalia; Primates; Hominidae
Description: HSALNT0266920
Source: RNAcentral